GUGUGUGUGUGUGUGUGUGUGUGUGUGUGUGUUUUGUUUUAGCUAUAGGCUACCUAUUACCCUAUGAGCUCUAAAGCAAAACUACUUGCACUGUUCAUAUAGUUCAAAUGGGCAUACCAAACAUACGCACAUAUAUUUCUACAUACGCACAUAAAUCCCUAUAAUCAUACAAUUUUUUAUUCUUACUCGGUUUACAGUAGAUACAGUUAUUUACUUAACGAGCAAUGCGUACAGGAUCUUAUCCAGUUGGAAAAUUGAUACAUACGCCUCAUGCAUACUCGAGAUCAUGGUUGCAUCUUCUAUAUUUACGAGUUCACGGAUGCAACCAUCGAGUUCGAAUUUAUCGUCUUUGCCACUGUUACUUUUUGAGGUCCCAACGCCGACGACCUCCGAUACAAUCCAUCUUUCCCUCCUCCAAAAAUCAUGCAAAUGAACAUGUCAAAAUGGAAACAGACCAGCUAGGAUCUACCUUAUUAGCUUCUUCUUCAUAAACUUCCAAAGUGCUAACAUAUAAGCCCAUGGAAAGACAUCACACUAUAAAUGGAAAUACAAUUAUAUAUCUACAGAAAUCCAAAAAGAAUCUCAGAGAGGAAGAUAGAAAGCAAUUAAAUCUUAUAGAGGAUACAUGAGCGGAUGAUCUGCUCGGGUUUAAAGCCUCUAGACGCCGUUCCAAUUCUUCUAGGCUAGCAUGAACCGCGUUCGUAGCCCAUAGCUUCAUUGGAUGGAUCUUGGGGUGCUCACUUGUCUCCGAAUUCAAAGCGGAACUUCGUAUGCCAAAAAAGAAAAAAAAA
This 791-nucleotide long non-coding RNA is filed under the name Olea europaea (common olive). RNAcentral's name for it is "long non-coding RNA (OEUR_LNC013710)". The record is from RNAcentral. Lineage: Eukaryota; Viridiplantae; Streptophyta; Magnoliopsida; Lamiales; Oleaceae.